UGCUCUCGCUGCCUCACUUGUACAGACAUACACACAGUAUCGCGGCACCAAGAGCGGUCGCACACAGAACAGCGGCAGGACGGAAACUGGAAGUGUGGUUGUGCCCUUUUGAGGAGUUUUUGCUUUCCACAGGAGCUCUGGAAAAGAGACGGGACACUCAGGGCUGCAGUGACAGCAGCAUAGUAACCUGGAGGUCACAACUGCAAGGUGUGAAUAAGAAGCUCUCCGAUAAAGAUGCUGGAGAAAACUGGACAUAUGUGCGCUGCAUGUCAACACAUUCUAUGAAGCUGAAUGAAACUACUGAGCUAGGACAUGCUCUGGAAGUGCCUGUUCUCUCCACUGACUGCAAAGAGAAUGUAACAUGAAUCAUUCAGGAAGAAACUGGUGAUUGCUUUCCAAGAAAAUUUAAAAGCUGCUUUGAAAAAAUAAAAGCUACCAUAUGUGAUGAUAGUAUUAAAGAAAAACAGAACCUCAAGGACAGAUUAAGAACAUUUACUUUCCUUUCACAUAAACACACACACACACACACACACACACACUCCCAUAUACGCUCUCCAUUAAUGACUGAUGUUUACUGAAAGUCAUUUCAAUAAAUCUGUCUCCCUUCCUAUCUAAAAACUUUGAUCCUCAAAUGCAAACCCAAUUCUAGCACUGAUCAUUAAGGAAUCUGAGGCGGCUGUACCCAAGCACCUCUGCAGAAACAACUGCAGCUGUUUAAAGAUACCACUACUACUCAGCUGUUUGGUGCUGCUUCUCACCCCACCCACACAUACAUAUAUAUAUAUAUCAAUCAUAUAUAGGUCAUUUGGGAAUUCCUCAUAUGCUUCAGUGCACAGGCAGCUGGGGCGGUGUAAUCUGCUUCUGCAAUGCUUGUCUGACUGUGCUCUUGGUGAGCAGGAUCUGACUCAUUCAGCUCAAGGUUACCACAGUGGGUAACACAAGAUCUUUUGCACCACCCGUGCUGGCUCUCUACUUCAAGGCUUUUUCCCAAGGAGUUAUUUAGAGGCUCCUCUCAGAGAGUAGAAAUUCAAGCAAUUUUCUAUACUUCUUUCUCAUAGCCCUUAUUCAGCUGUAAGCAGAUUCACCACAGAAAGUUCAUGCAAACCAUUUUUAAGCUGCACUAAAGCUCGAUGGAGAGACUGACACAAACGUUAAAAAUUACAGAGAAUUGCGUUGUCAUACAAACUGAUCUGAGCAACAAUGAAACACAGUAGGAUCUGCAUGACAUAUUGGAAGGGAGAUGCUAACUCUACUCUGUCCAACAAAAGGUGCCCUAAACUGGAAACAUUUUCCCACUGCAGAUAGUGUUACAGGAAAUUUUUCUUACCUGCUGAAGGGAGAAGAAAACAGGACUGAGUAACUGAUAGCGAAGACUCUGUAGCUGGUAUCCAAGAAUCACAUGAAAACUCUUGACAGGUGAUACAGUUUGGUUAAAAAAUUCAUCCCCUUGUAAAAAAGGCAGCUCUGCAAUAAAGAGAUGAACAAAAAGUAGCAUUGCACAUGCUGUUAUUGUAGGAAUUGUUUCUCCACUGUGCACUAAUAACCUCACACACAUCACAAACAGAAGUGAAACAACUGCAAUACUCAGUUCACAUAUCUCAUAGCACAUAUCACUGAUAUAAGUAAACAUUUCUUUAAUUUUCCCUUCCCUGCUUCGUUUUCCUUAAGAGGGAACCAACGCAUUGACACCAGCUCUAAGCGCUGUGUUUAUCACCGAAGUGGAGAAGCCACUUUCCAUUAGCAUAUGCACUGCAAGCAGUUCUGCGUCCAAGAACAAAAGAAAGGUUUGCAAUAAGCUUCAUAGCCUGCAAUGAUCACCACCUUUGGAGAGAAGCUGUCCUGUAAGACCUGGAAAAGUAUUACAUGCCUCAAUUAAAAAUAAUGGAAAUUCUUGCUUUAGGGCUUCAAAUAAAGGUUGUAAUGUCUGUCUGCCUGUCCACAGCUGGUCUUGAAGUGAGAUGCUUACAAACACAAUAAACAACCCUAGAGUGGA
This is a long non-coding RNA of Lagopus leucura (white-tailed ptarmigan), 1993 nucleotides long. RefSeq lists it as uncharacterized. NCBI's taxonomy places the organism in Eukaryota, Metazoa, Chordata, Aves, Galliformes, Phasianidae. The record is from RefSeq and is a predicted model, not a curated record. The transcript is spliced from 4 exons.